ACGAACGCUGGCGGCAGGCCUAACACAUGCAAGUCGCGCGAGGACUUCGGUCCUAGCGGCGGACGGGUGAGUAACGCGUGGGAAUGUGCCCUUCUCUACGGAAUAGCCCUGGGAAACUGGGAGUAAUACCGUAUACGCCCUAUUGGGGAAAGAUUUAUCGGAGAAGGAUCAGCCCGCGUUGGAUUAGGUAGUUGGUGGGGUAAUGGCCUACCAAGCCGACGAUCCAUAGCUGGUUUGAGAGGAUGAUCAGCCACACUGGGACUGAGACACGGCCCAGACUCCUACGGGAGGCAGCAGUGGGGAAUCUUAGACAAUGGGGGCAACCCUGAUCUAGCCAUGCCGCGUGAGUGAUGAAGGCCUUAGGGUUGUAAAGCUCUUUCAGCUGGGAAGAUAAUGACGGUACCAGCAGAAGAAGCCCCGGCUAACUCCGUG
This 432-nucleotide ribosomal RNA is filed under the name uncultured bacterium. Its description in RNAcentral is "partial 16S ribosomal RNA". It matches the Rfam family "Bacterial small subunit ribosomal RNA", at positions 29 to 507 of the family's 1533-position model. The record is from RNAcentral.